GGUUUCAACGGAUGGAAUGUUGCAUACUCAAGUAUUUCGUUGCAUCAUAACGAUGGAAGCGUUUCAAGAACCGAAUUCACAUUUACAUAUUUGAAAUUUGAUCCUGGCGUGCCGUACAUUAUAGGGCCAGAAGACUUUAUUGAGAAAAUCUACAAUACGUUUAACACCAAGACAUCGAAAAUUAGCGACUUGAAAGUGGUUGACUGCGAAACCAUUCACACAUUACCGAGGAUCACAUUUAGUCAUUCUAAUCCAUAUUCACACAUAGAUUUAACUCUGACUGGAAAUGAUUACAUCAAACAGAUGACGGAAAAUGGUAAACAGAUCUGCACAGUUCAACUGUUAUCACACAGAUACUCCGACUGGAUUAUGGGAAGCGUUUUUUCAAGAAAGUUUUACACUGUAUUUGAUCAGGGGAUGAACAGAAUUGCAUUUGCCGAAAGCAUUCAUGAUAGGCCUGCUCAGCUAAUGAUCUUUCUUUUUUAAUGAGAAAAAGAAAUAACAAUCUAUAAGUACAUUAAUUUCUAUUUUAAACAUUUUACUAUCAUAUUGAGACAUUGUUUUCAACUGUGCGUAAUGUUUUAACCAAUAGAGCAAUUUUUAAUGAUGUAUGUAAGUAAGUAUAUAUGUAUCAAAAAAUUUCAUAGUUUUCUUCAUAAUUUCUUUAGAAACUUCUGUUUAGCACGUAUUGUGCAGAGUGAAUUUCUGCAUCCCAACUACAUUUUGAUCAAAUUUUAUAGACUUUCAAGUUGAAAAAAUUCACUGGAGGCUCCAGUAAUUUCCAAAAAGUCGCUGUAGGCUCCAAAACUACUCGAAAUCUACCUGCAGUCGACUUCUCAUAGCGCAGCGUAUUGAAAUUAGU
This is a long non-coding RNA of Planococcus citri (citrus mealybug), 862 nucleotides long. RefSeq lists it as uncharacterized. The record is from RefSeq and is a predicted model, not a curated record. The transcript is spliced from 4 exons. Lineage: Eukaryota; Metazoa; Arthropoda; Insecta; Hemiptera; Pseudococcidae.